RNAcentral lists this ribosomal RNA (490 nucleotides) under uncultured bacterium. RNAcentral's name for it is "partial 16S ribosomal RNA". It matches the Rfam family "Bacterial small subunit ribosomal RNA", at positions 30 to 507 of the family's 1533-position model. The record is from RNAcentral.
AUUGAACGCUGGCGGCAGGCCUAACACAUGCACGUCGAAUGGUAACAGGAAGCAGCUUGCUGUUUCGCUGACGAGUGGCGGACGGGUGAGUAAUGUCUGGGAAACUGCCUGAUGGAGGGGGAUAACUACUGGAAACGGUAGCUAAUACCGCAUAACGUCGCAAGACCAAAGAGGGGGACCUUCGGGCCUCUUGCCAUCAGAUGUGCCCAGAUGGGAUUAGCUAGUAGGUGGGGUAACGGCUCACCUAGGCGACGAUCCCUAGCUGGUCUGAGAGGAUGACCAGCCACACUGGAACUGAGACACGGUCCAGACUCCUACGGGAGGCAGCAGUGGGGAAUAUUGCACAAUGGGCGCAAGCCUGAUGCAGCCAUGCCGCGUGUAUGAAGAAGGCCUUCGGGUUGUAAAGUACUUUCAGCGGGGAGGAAGGGAGUAAAGUUAAUACCUUUGCUCAUUGACGUUACCCGCAGAAGAAGCACCGGCUAACUCCGUG